CACUGCCCCACCCCUGGGCACGCUGGGAAAUGUAGUCCCGAAGGGAGGCGUUGAGGGAGGGUCGGGGUUGUGUCGCUCCGCGUCCCCUCAGACACCGGAGCCGCCCCUCGCCCCCGCUCCGCUCUGCUCUGCUCUGGGGACGCGGGGCUCGCCCCACGAACGCUCGGCAGCGCUCACUCCGCAGGGAAGGACGAAGCCCCUCACCCCAAAUCAUCAGAGUCAAGACCCUCCCUGUGCCUCUGUGGCAGAAGUUGCUGGUUGAAGCCAGUGGGAGUUUGCAGCACUUUUUCUGGAACACAUGAGCUGGUGUAAUGAGUUUACCCUACUUGGACUUAGCAGAGCAAUCCUUUAGUGCCCCUUGUAAUCUUGGCUGUGCAGCUUCGCCCUAUCUGGUUGCAGAUUUGUGGUCUGAGGGAAGGUCAGCGUGGAAAAACUUCAUUCUACAAAGGGAAAGCUGACAUGCAAAUGUCACUUUUGUGAAUAGGAGUUUUAAGUAAGUGCUUCUCAAUUAUCAGUAAUAAGCUUUGAAGUGCAAUGCUGAAUGACUAAGGCUGCUGUAUUCAAAAGUCUCCAAGUGAUCUGCAGCUGGAAAAUGUAACAAGAAUCAGUUUCCCAACAUGACAGAACCAUACUCUGUUCUGCUUAUAUGAUGAUUCAUGACCACCACCUCUCUGUGUGGGCUAGUCUGUGCUCUUUCCUUGUCCUUCCACAGCAGCUUUUAUUUCUUUUCCCUGGCAACACCUCUUUUUGCACUGGUGUGUGUAUAUCACUGGUGAAGAGUGCUUAAACAUCUGCACUUGGGGUCUGAGACACAGCUCCCAGUGCCCUGCCACAGCACAGAGCCAAGUCUGUGCCUGACCUAAGAGUGAAAUCAGCCCUUUGGCUCUGGGAAUCAGUUCAGCAUUAGACCAAGCUUUAUUCAAGCCUUGAUUGCUUCACUGUUCAAGAAAAAUGGGAAAAAAGUGCACUAAAAU
This 974-nucleotide long non-coding RNA is filed under the name Parus major (Great Tit). Its description in RNAcentral is "lncRNA (ENSPMJG00000006542.1)". The record is from RNAcentral. Lineage: Eukaryota; Metazoa; Chordata; Aves; Passeriformes; Paridae.